UGCAGUCGAGCGGAGAAGGGAGCUUGCUCCUGGAUUCGACGGCGGACGGGUGAGUAAUGCCUAUGAAUCUGCCUGGUAGUGGGGGAUAACGUCCGGAAACGGGCGCUAAUACCGCAUACGUCCUGAGGGAGAAAGUGGGGGAUCUUCGGACCUCACGCUAUCAGAUGAACCUAGGUCGGAUUAACUAGUUGGUGGGGUAAAGGCCUACCCAGGCGACGAUCCAUAACUGGUCUGAGAGGAUGAUCAAUCACACUGGAACUGAGACACGGUCCAGACUCCUACGGGAGGCAGCAGUGGGGAAUAUUGGACAAUGGGCGAAAGCCUGAUCCAGCCAUGCCGCGUGUGUGAAGAAGGUCUUCGGAUUGUAAAGCACUUUAAGUUGGGAGGAAGGGCAGUAAGUUAGUACCUUGCUGUUUUGACGUUACCAACAGAAUAAGCACCGGCUAACUUCGUGCCAGCAGCCGCGGUAAUACGAAGGGUGCAAGCGUUAAUCGGAAUUACUGGGCGUAAAGCGCGCGUAGGUGGUUCAGCAAGUUGGAUGUGAAAUCCCCGGGCUCAUCCUGGGAACUGCAUCCUAAACUACUGAGCUAGAGUACGGUAGAGGGUGGUGGAAUUUCCUGUGUAGCGGUGAAAUGCGUAGAUAUAGGAAGGAACACCAGUGGCGAAGGCGACCACCUGGACUGAUACUGACGCUGAUGUGCUACAGCGUGGGGAGCAACAGGAUUAUAUACCCUGGUAGUCCACGCCGUAACGAUGACGACUAUCCGUAGGGAUCCUUGAUAUCUUAUUGGCGCAGCUAACGCGAUAAUCGACCGCCUGGUGAGUCGGCCGCAGGUUAUACUCAUAUGAUUGACGGGGGCCGCCCAACGGUGGAGCUGUGGUUAAUUCUACCAACGCGAGAA
This 902-nucleotide ribosomal RNA is filed under the name Pseudomonas aeruginosa. RNAcentral describes it as "bacterial SSU rRNA". It matches the Rfam family "Bacterial small subunit ribosomal RNA", at positions 56 to 967 of the family's 1533-position model. The record is from RNAcentral. Lineage: Bacteria; Pseudomonadati; Pseudomonadota; Gammaproteobacteria; Pseudomonadales; Pseudomonadaceae.